AUUGAACGCUGGCGGCAUGCUUUACACAUGCAAGUCGAACGGCAGCGCGGGCUUCGGCCUGGCGGCGAGUGGCGAACGGGUGAGUAAUGCAUCGGAACGUGCCCAGUAGUGGGGGAUAGCCCGGCUACAGCCGGCUUAAUACCGCAUACGACCUGAGUUUGAAAGCCGGGGACCUAAAGGCCUCGCUCUAUUUGCUCUGCCGAUGUCGGAUUAGCUAGUUGGUGGGGUAAAGGCUUACCAAGGCGACGAUCCGUAGCUGGUCUGAGAGGACGACCAGCCACACUGGGACUGAGACACGGCCCAGACUCCUACGGGAGGCAGCAGUGGGGAAUUUUGGACAAUGGGGGAAACCCUGAUCCAGCAAUGCCGCGUGAGGGAAGAAGGCCUUCGGGUUGUAAACCGCUUUUGUUCGGGAAGAAAUCCUCUGGGCUAAUACCCCGGGGGGAUGACGGUACCGGAAGAAUAAGCACCGGCUAACUACGUG
This 484-nucleotide ribosomal RNA is filed under the name uncultured bacterium. Its description in RNAcentral is "partial 16S ribosomal RNA". It matches the Rfam family "Bacterial small subunit ribosomal RNA", at positions 30 to 507 of the family's 1533-position model. The record is from RNAcentral.